UGGGGAUUAGCCAAGUGGUAAGGCAGCUGGUUUUGGUCCAGUGAUCGGGGGUUCGAAUCCCUCAUCCCCAGCCA
This 74-nucleotide transfer RNA is filed under the name Candidatus Peregrinibacteria bacterium. RNAcentral describes it as "tRNA-Gln". It matches the Rfam family "tRNA". From Rfam's summary of the family: Transfer RNA (tRNA) molecules are approximately 80 nucleotides in length. Their secondary structure includes four short double-helical elements and three loops (D, anti-codon, and T loops). Further hydrogen bonds mediate the characteristic L-shaped molecular structure. tRNAs have two regions of fundamental functional importance: the anti-codon, which is responsible for specific mRNA codon recognition, and the 3' end, to which the tRNAs corresponding amino acid is attached (by aminoacyl-tRNA synthetases). tRNAs cope with the degeneracy of the genetic code in two manners: having more than one tRNA (with a specific anti-codon) for a particular amino acid; and 'wobble' base-pairing, i.e. permitting non-standard base-pairing at the 3rd anti-codon position. Lineage: Bacteria; Candidatus Peregrinibacteriota. The record is from RNAcentral. RNAcentral also lists the same sequence under 1 other name.